GGGCCCGUAACUCAGCUUGGCCAGAGUAACGGCCUUUUAAGCCGAUAGUCGCGGGUUCAAAUCCCGCCGGGCCCA
RNAcentral lists this transfer RNA (75 nucleotides) under Microcaldota archaeon. RNAcentral describes it as "tRNA-Lys". It matches the Rfam family "tRNA". Rfam says of the family: Transfer RNA (tRNA) molecules are approximately 80 nucleotides in length. Their secondary structure includes four short double-helical elements and three loops (D, anti-codon, and T loops). The record is from RNAcentral. Lineage: Archaea; Nanobdellati; Microcaldota.